UACAUCUGUGCACUAUGUCUGUAUAGCUCUUAGCAACAAGUCAUAACCUAUACUUUGUACGCACUUGUCAGAAACGGCGAGAAAACAAGAUAGAGAAAAAGAGGGAAGAAAAGAGAAGGGAAGAGGAAGAAAGGAAAGGAGAGAAGAUAGAAAGGCAAGAUGGAAAAGAGAUAGAAAAAAAGUCCAGUGGAAUGUCUCGGGAAGACCUAAGGAUUCUCAUCGAGUAGUAUCUUAGGAAGACUGUCUUGCGGUGCUUUUGCGGCUCGACAAAAACCAUUUUUUUUGCACCUAGAGCAGAUUUUAAUAUUUUAUUUGUAUACAAAUUUAUUAAUAAAAAAAAAUUAAAUUAUACUUUUAAUAUAUUGAAAAAUAUAUAUUGAAAAAUAAAAAUAAAAUAAAUAAAAAUAUUCAUUUUCAUAAAAAUUCUGAAAGUAAUUUAAGAAGCAAAAUAAAAUGUUCUAUAAAAUAAAAAUUUAAAUAUUAAACAUAGAAGAAUAUAUUAUUAAUUAUUAGAAAAUUCUCACGGAAAAAUUUUCAUGUAGAAUUAAUUCUAAGUUUAACAUAAUGUAAGGUGCAUUUCAACGCAUACGAGGAACCUCUGCGAAGAGCAAAGAAAUUGAAUAGGAAUAGUAGCUGAAGGACCGAGGCAAAGAAAAUGAAUCAUGACGAGUGGCUAUGACUAAUGUAUUACAUUAAUAACUGAAUUUAGUUAUUAAUUUGAUACCAGAUGGCGCAGUAAUCCAUUUAUUUAUCUGUCGUUUCAAUAGAAACUCUAAGAAGAGUGAAGAAAAAAAUAUUUACAAAGAAGAGAUUCGUUCGAAAUGAUUGUCAACAGUCAUAACAAGAUUAAUUUUUAGGAGAAAAUUUUAAACUGUAAUGUGAUGAAUACUAUCGCAUUUUAAAAUGCAUAUUGUGGAAACAUCAAAGAAGCAAAAGAGGAAAGAAAAACGAAUAAAUGGAAGACGAAUGGAAGAGAAGAAGGAGAAGGAUGA
Long non-coding RNA from Apis cerana (Asiatic honeybee), 992 nucleotides. RefSeq lists it as uncharacterized. The record is from RefSeq and is a predicted model, not a curated record. Lineage: Eukaryota; Metazoa; Arthropoda; Insecta; Hymenoptera; Apidae.